RNAcentral lists this transfer RNA (63 nucleotides) under Acanthormius sp. 3 DLJQ-2021a. RNAcentral describes it as "Acanthormius sp. QL-2013 tRNA-Leu". Lineage: Eukaryota; Metazoa; Arthropoda; Insecta; Hymenoptera; Braconidae. The record is from RNAcentral.
AUUACUUUGACAGAGAAAUUGUAAUAAAUUUAGAAUUUAUAUAUGUAAUAUUUACAAGUAAUA